AAAUAAUGUAAAAAAUAGUACAAAAAAUGGGUUUUUUGUUGUUAAAUCAAUCUAAAUUUGAUCCGAAAAUUUUGAAAUUUGGCAGGUAGAUUCCUUGCUAAUACUUUAUCAAUAUAUUUCCUAAAAUGUAACUAUAUCUCAAUAAACACUGCACAGAAUAAAUUAAAUAAUGUAAAAAAUAGUACAAAAAAUGGGUUUUUUGUUGUUAAAUCACUCUAAAUUUGAUCCGAAAAUUUUGAAAUUUGGCAGGUAGAUUCCUUGCUAACACUUUAUCAAUAUAUUUCCUAAAAUGUAACUAUAUCUCAAUAAACACUGCACAGAAUAAAUUAAAUAAUGUAAAAAAUAGUA
This is a long non-coding RNA of Diabrotica virgifera virgifera (western corn rootworm), 348 nucleotides long. RefSeq lists it as uncharacterized. The transcript is spliced from 3 exons. The record is from RefSeq and is a predicted model, not a curated record. Lineage: Eukaryota; Metazoa; Arthropoda; Insecta; Coleoptera; Chrysomelidae.